RNAcentral lists this ribosomal RNA (253 nucleotides) under uncultured bacterium. RNAcentral describes it as "partial 16S ribosomal RNA". It matches the Rfam family "Bacterial small subunit ribosomal RNA", at positions 524 to 776 of the family's 1533-position model. The record is from RNAcentral.
UACGGAGGGGGCAAGCGUUAUUCGGGAUUAUUGGGCGUAAAGGGCGCGUAGGCGGCUAGAUGUGUCAAAGGUGAAAUCCCUCGGCUCAACUGAGGAACUGCCUUUGAAACUGUCUGGCUUGAGGCCGGGAGAGGGUAGCGGAAUUCCCAGUGUAGCGGUGAAAUGCGUAGAUAUUGGGAGGAACACCAGUGGCGAAGGCGGCUACCUGGACCGGUUCUGACGCUGAGGCGCGAAAGCGUGGGUAGCAAACAGG